This 144-nucleotide non-coding RNA is filed under the name Schistosoma mansoni. Lineage: Eukaryota; Metazoa; Platyhelminthes; Trematoda; Strigeidida; Schistosomatidae. The record is from RNAcentral.
UCCGACACUGACUGCUACCUUGACGUGGUGGUAGGGCUUGCCCAUCGUGAUGACCCAAUCGAGCUAUAUUGGCUGAAACAUAUGUUCCUUUAGGUUCUACCGUUCCAGGCAGGUCAGUCGGAGAACAUUAAGACUAAAAGCAGC